Long non-coding RNA from Sinocyclocheilus rhinocerous, 1075 nucleotides. RefSeq lists it as uncharacterized. NCBI's taxonomy places the organism in Eukaryota, Metazoa, Chordata, Actinopteri, Cypriniformes, Cyprinidae. The record is from RefSeq and is a predicted model, not a curated record. The transcript is spliced from 2 exons.
CUUUUGAUUUAUUUCCCAGGUGGUGCAUUUGAGUGGGACGAUGACUUCCCAUCUCCAGAGCCCAAUUUCCUUUCAAAGGCAGCCAGUGAUCAUUCUGCCAGUAGGCCCAGUGGGACCUCGGCGGCUUCUAAGUAUUUCUCACCACCCCCUGCGAACCGCACCCUGGAGCAGAGCUGGAACAGUCCCUCCAACUACUCGCGCUUCUCCAUCUCCCCAGCCAGCAUCGCCAGCUUCUCCCUCACCCACCUCACAGACUCUGACAUUGAGCAAGGGGGAAGCAGUGAAGACGGAGAGAAAGAUUAAACAAUCUAUCAGACACGCAUAAAUAUUGGAGAUAUGUCGCGGAUGUAUUUGAUUUGAAGGCUUUGAUUGCUUCUCAGCAUUGGUAUUUAUUUGGGGAUAUGAAGGGGCCUGCAGAGACUGAGCUGAUGGCAACCUGUUUUCUGCACAGUCGUCUGGUUUUCCAUAAACUAUGAUUUGCUAUGUUUUUCUUCAGUGCAAUUUGGAGGAACCUUGCUUCACAUAUGCUUUCAGAAACUUUUGCGCACUUCCUAAAUGCCCUGCCUCACUUUUUUUCUUUUGCUCAUUUGCAGUUCUUCAUAGUGUCCACAUUUUACGUCAGAAGGAUAAAGAUGAAAUGUAUCACUCAACCAGAGGACUUUCUGUUAAACACUAAUGAGCCAAUAGACUCGAAACUCAGUUGUGCAAUUGGAAUCGUAUAAUACUUGCCUUUUAUUUUAACACACUGGAUUUUAUUUCAUUUUUUAUGUGAAAUCUAGCGUGACGAGCUUAUUUAUAUGAUCGUGUAAUGGAUUUGAUGUCCAAUAGAAGCAACAGGGGUCUCCACAGAUAUUUUUGUACAGUGUUUGGACUACUUACAAGCCACUUUCACCCAAGCAACAACUAGCGUAGUUUCAGUGACAUGUUUUGUAUUAAAAGAUGUAGAAGUCAGGAUACGGGCAGCUGGAGAGUUUUGACUAUGAGAUGCUAAGUCUAACGUAGUGAGCAUUCUUUGUCGUUGCAGUCUGUUCAUGAGGAAUACACGGAGUGCUGCGCAUCAGGGCUUUUAGCUGUA